GCCAACAUAGCUCAGCUGGUAGAGCAGCUCACUCGUAAUGAGCAGGUCACCGGUUCGAGUCCGGUUGUUGGCU
Molecule: transfer RNA, 73 nt
Filed under: Bacteroidota bacterium
Lineage: Bacteria; Pseudomonadati; Bacteroidota
Also listed under: 5 other names
Description: tRNA-Thr
Rfam family: tRNA
About the family: Transfer RNA (tRNA) molecules are approximately 80 nucleotides in length. Their secondary structure includes four short double-helical elements and three loops (D, anti-codon, and T loops). Further hydrogen bonds mediate the characteristic L-shaped molecular structure. tRNAs have two regions of fundamental functional importance: the anti-codon, which is responsible for specific mRNA codon recognition, and the 3' end, to which the tRNAs corresponding amino acid is attached (by aminoacyl-tRNA synthetases). tRNAs cope with the degeneracy of the genetic code in two manners: having more than one tRNA (with a specific anti-codon) for a particular amino acid; and 'wobble' base-pairing, i.e. permitting non-standard base-pairing at the 3rd anti-codon position.
Source: RNAcentral